AGAUAACCACGGUAGCAGUGCUCAGCUGGGAUGUUUCUGACAGCUCUCCUUUCCUGUGAAUAUCUGUUUUCUCCUCUUCCCCAACCAAUAUGCAGAAUACUUGAUUAGAACUUCAUUGUAACAGGUAUGUUUUCUUUAUUUGCUCU
Molecule: long non-coding RNA, 146 nt
Filed under: Taeniopygia guttata (zebra finch)
Lineage: Eukaryota; Metazoa; Chordata; Aves; Passeriformes; Estrildidae
Description: lncRNA (ENSTGUG00000028215.1)
Source: RNAcentral